UCAUUUCCUGUGAAUGGAUAAGUAGAUGGAAAAAGCGCCAGUACAGAGAGCCGGAGUAGCUGGGAACCGGUAUGGUGAGCGUCAUCGAAUAUGGUCCGGGAGGAACUGUGGUCAAGCAUAUUCGGUUGUAUCGAUAUGUAAGGCUUCAGCGUGAACCAGCGUUAAUGGGCAGUCUGCUAAAGACUGAUAGAGUCUACUUUUGCAAAGAAGUAGAGAAUUUGGGUGGUAACGCGUGAGUCUAUGCUCUCGUCCCAUAU
Molecule: non-coding RNA, 257 nt
Filed under: Paenibacillus sp.
Lineage: Bacteria; Bacillati; Bacillota; Bacilli; Caryophanales; Paenibacillaceae
Description: T-box sequence
Rfam family: T-box leader
About the family: Uncharged tRNA acts as the effector for transcription antitermination of genes in the T-box leader family. T-boxes are found upstream of many aminoacyl-tRNA synthetase genes and some amino acid biosynthetic genes usually in Gram-positive bacteria. The anticodon of a specific tRNA base pairs to a specifier sequence within the T-box motif, and the NCCA acceptor tail of the tRNA base pairs to a conserved bulge in the T-box antiterminator hairpin.
Source: RNAcentral